AUGUCAUUUGGAAGGAUAAGUGGGAAGAGGGAGCUUUGAUUGACUCGUGCCUUGGACCUCCUUGAUCUCUCUCCAUUUACCUGUGGGACAACCUGCCUUGGGUUUACAACUGCAUUUUAUGGAGGAUUUAGGAAGAUAUUUGAGGAAGGUUUGUUCUCUUUUCUGCUUUUCUGGUAAUGAAGCAGAACAAUUUGACGAUUUUUUUUUGAUAAAUAGCUGAAAAUGUAAAAACUCUAUAGGCUGGAUUCUUACAGGACAGCCCAAAACCACUGAAUGUAAGCACAUCCAAGAAUGACAGUGGCAAUCUCUUCUUUAUUCCUUCCUUACAAUAGGAAGGUCUAUUGUACAUCUGCUUUUUUUUUUCUCUUUUCUGGGUUUUGUUAAGAUGAUGACAAGCAAGCUUAAAUAUUGUAUUUUCCAAUAUAAAGUAUUCUACUUAAAAGAUCUAAAAAGUUAUUUUGAGCAAAAUCAGCAUUUGUCCCAUGUGCCGAAAGAGAAAGAAAUGUUUUACCUAUCUUCAACUGUUCAUUCCACUUUCCAUGAUGUUUUUAAACUGAUUGUCAUGGCUUUGGGCAAAGUUUCUUUGUGGAAAGCUAGGCCUUUUUCAUAAACCAGUUCUUCCUUGUUUUAUCAAUACUUAUUUGCUGUGGUAGGGGUGAGGGAUAUCACAUCCUUUGACCUAGGAUGUGAUAUGGGGCAUCAUAUGUUCUUUGAGGUGGUUUAGAAGCGAUUAAAUUCGUAGGCAUUUGAAAAUAACUUUUGGAUGCUCUCUGCAAGAUGUGUCACAGAGAUGUUGAACCUAGUGAGAUAAUUCGGAUUCCUCUGUAGUAGUUAGCAAUGAACCACAGUGAAGUCUGUAUCCUUCUGUUAGACGGUUACUCAGCAUACCCUUGCUGAGUAGUGAGAUUCUGAAGUAAAACUAAUUAUUCCAGCUAAUUAGUGCUAGGAAGACCUAACACAAACCUGCAUGAAAAUUUUGUGAGUGUGUCUGGGGUUGUACUUGUUUAUUUAAUUCUCCCAGGGUGUUGUCUGCUAUGUUUUUUUUUGAAAGGGUCGCAGCUGGAGGUGGGUAGGAGGAGGCAGGCUGCCUCUUUGCCUUGUCUCAACUGCUGUCUUGUGACUCAGCCUGAAAACUGAGGAGAAGACACAAGUGGGGGCUGCUGAGCUGUUUUCAGGGAAACCAAAUGCUCCAGGGACAGGGAAGGUCAAUGACUUGAUCUCUGAAUUUGUGUAUAUCCUGUGAAGAUCUCUAUUCUUAGAAGAUAUUACAGACUGACUAGGACAGCAAUAGCUGCAGUAGAUCGUCAUGGAUCAGAUGCACCUUUUGCCACUGUGCUGACUUGAUAUGUGAAAUCUUGGUAUGAUAUUGAGAAAUGUCCCAUAAAGUAAUUCAGGCUUAUUGUUGGACAGAAGGCAUUGAAAUGGCUUGUGUUGCAAUUGGGAGUUGCUGUAUUAAGCUCUAAUUUGUGGUUUAUUCUAGAGGAAAAUAUUCAGUUAAGAUAAUUAAUACAUAAUACUUUAUUUUUUGUUUUCUUUGGUAGAUUAUCACAGAUGUAUAUUAUACUUCAUUUCUGUUUACAUAUACAUUUAGAGAGAGUAGCUGAUAUCUGAUAUCAUUGUAAGUUUGGAGAUCUUUGGAUGCAUUAUUUUAAACAAAAAAUAUAGGCCAAUGUUGUUCUUUCCAUACUGGCUGAAUUUAGUUAUUUCAUUAGAAAACAUUUUAUAUAUGUAGAUGCAUAAACUUUCUAUGUGAGGUGAAAUCCAGAGACUGAUUAAGUGGUUGCAAAAACCUUCAGUAGUGGACACUUGCCUAUCUAUCAGAUAAGGGAAAGCUUUUCUUUCAGCUACUUCUGCUUGUUUGUAUUAGAUAAAGAGUUUACAUUCUCACUGUCGUCUAAAUAAAAGACAUCCAUAAAAUGCAGUUUAUUCGACUCACCUUUGUCAGAUAUCUCAUCAUAUUUAUUUGCAGAAGUUAAGAGAGAAUUUGCCCUUUGCUAGUUUUAGCUUGC
Long non-coding RNA from Falco peregrinus (peregrine falcon), 2009 nucleotides. RefSeq lists it as uncharacterized. The record is from RefSeq and is a predicted model, not a curated record. The transcript has 3 exons. NCBI's taxonomy places the organism in Eukaryota, Metazoa, Chordata, Aves, Falconiformes, Falconidae.